Long non-coding RNA from Thalassophryne amazonica, 212 nucleotides. RefSeq lists it as uncharacterized. NCBI's taxonomy places the organism in Eukaryota, Metazoa, Chordata, Actinopteri, Batrachoidiformes, Batrachoididae. The record is from RefSeq and is a predicted model, not a curated record. The transcript is spliced from 4 exons.
CAGGUGGUGUUUAGCCGGCACUGCAGUCCCUCUGACAUCAAGGAGCUGCUUUAUUCCUCCACCAACAUUCCCAGGAACACUGCCAUUAUGAUGGUGGACCCAGAAGGAGCCUUAGUCUCCAUCGAUCCCACCAUGCCCACAAACUCUCCAAACUUCUUGUAUAAAGUCGUCCCUUUGUCCAGCAACCAGCUUGGAGAGAAGGAGGACGUGUU